AGCUCGAGUUUCUCUUCAUUAUCGCACAAAUCUUUCGCCUUUUACUAAAGAUUUCCGUGGAGGGGAACUUUUUGCGAGUGACUUGUAUUUUUGUACAGCAGAGCUA
Molecule: small nuclear RNA, 106 nt
Filed under: Sinocyclocheilus grahami
Lineage: Eukaryota; Metazoa; Chordata; Actinopteri; Cypriniformes; Cyprinidae
Description: U5 spliceosomal RNA (ENSSGRG00000024553.1)
Rfam family: U5 spliceosomal RNA
About the family: U5 RNA is a component of both types of known spliceosome. The precise function of this molecule is unknown, though it is known that the 5' loop is required for splice site selection and p220 binding, and that both the 3' stem-loop and the Sm site are important for Sm protein binding and cap methylation.
Source: Rfam by way of RNAcentral